Nomascus leucogenys (northern white-cheeked gibbon) is the source of this 2911-nucleotide RNA transcript. It is a transcript of the gene named ATP synthase F1 subunit delta, with no coding region annotated. The record is from RefSeq and is a predicted model, not a curated record. The transcript has 6 exons. NCBI's taxonomy places the organism in Eukaryota, Metazoa, Chordata, Mammalia, Primates, Hylobatidae.
GGGCCCUGUGGGGAGGAGACCUGGUCAGCUCCAGCUAGACCUAUUUCUCCUCCAGGAGCCACUGCAGACAAGCCGGGUCUUCCCUGCGGGAGCAGCAGCCCACACAGGGGGCAGUGACUCAUGGAGAGGCAGCAGAGCCGGAGGCAGCCUCCACCAGGCUUGGCUGUGCCCAGCAGGCCCCGGGGGCUCUCUCUGGACCUCCAUCUCCCAUCCCCAUGGCGGGGGAGGAGGCCUGGCCCUCUGAGGGUGCGCCUGUGCCCAUCACAACUGCACACAGCCGGUGCGGCCUGUCCUGCAAGGUAGCGCCAGGCCCUGGAGCUCGGCGCCAGGCAGGGCAAGCACUCGGAGGAAUGGGGACGCCAAGGCGUGCAGCCGGCUCGAGAGGGACUCCAGACGCCCUGUCCGCCCCACCACAGGGGUGGGGGGCUAUCCCCACUCCAAGAAGUUCAGCUACACCCUGGCAGGGCCCACCCGGCCAUGGUUGGGUAGAGGGAGACCUCCCGCUGCCUGCGCGCGGGGGAGGGCGCAGGGGCUGGGCGCGUGCCCCCGGGUCACGACUCCGGGAGGUGGAGGUCUGUCCGGUGCUGAGCGCUGGUGGGAGUGCAAGGGACAAAGGAGGCGCAUCUGUUCCCAGCCCCGGAGAAGCUGGUUCCCAUGGCGACCGCGGAGCAGGCCGCGGCUGGGGGGGCGGGUUGCCAGGGAGCGGCGGGGAGGGGGCGCGGGGGCGUCGGCCUGGGGGGGGGCAGCGGCCUCGGGGGGGCGGGCGCGGAGCCGCAAGAUGGCCGCGGCCACCUCCCCGCCGUGCCCAGCCCGGGCGCCCGGAGCAUCCCCGGCCACCUUACACUCGGGGGAAACUGAGGCGGGGCGCAGCACCAGGGAAAGCAGCCGCCUGGACAUUGCGCAGCGCAGCCGGGCGGGGAGACCCGGGAAUCGCAGGGGGUCGGGGCUGGCGCCGGGGUGCUCGGCGGCCCCAGGUCAGCACGGCACGCGCGAGGCCUCUCCCGGAGCGAGAGGAGCGCACAGGCGGCAGCCGCUCCUGCCCCUCCCGGACUUCCGCCCACACGCGACAGCGGGAAACUGAGGCCCAAAGCCUGGCAGGGUCCCAACGGGGACUGGUAUUCUCACUGCUCCCGGUCACAGGCUGCCCGGGCCCUGAGAUGGAAUCUUGCUAUGUUGUCCAGGCUGGUCUCGAACUCCUGGGCUCAAGAGAUCCUUCUGUCUCAGUCUCCUAAAGUGUUGGGACUAGAGGUGUGAGCCCCCACACCCCGCCAGAUUUCCGAUUUUUAAUAAAGACUCCCUAUGGCUGUGUGAAGAAAAGGUACCUGUACUAAACAGGGGGAGGCUGGGGCCUGUUAGGCAAGAGAUGGUAGCCAUGGUGGCCAUGCUGGGUGCACAGGCCAGGACAGGGCGGAAUUCCAGAGGAACCCCAGGUUUGGGGCUGGAGUAAUGGCGCCCUCACCCGUGUGCGACCCUGGAGUGGGGACUGGAGUGAAGUGGUUCCACGAGUGAGACUGAGUCUAUUAGGCCUCCCAGGUUCCUGGAGUGGCAGCUGGAUAUGGGGUCCUGAGAGCCAGGAGAGGAUGUGGUGCACAGGUCACGCCUGGAAAAGUGAGCAGGCCUCACCCUCUGCACCCCCCGAGCCAGGGCCAGAAUGACCAGGCUCCAAGUGACCGUCACAGCGCUGGCCCGGGGGGAGGAGCCAGGCCCACGCCUUCAUCCUGAGUCGGACCAGCAGGGCCUUCUUCAGGACCGUUUCACCGCCCUUAUCUGACUCCCCCUGGUUCUGCCGCAGCCUGGGCCGGAACUAAACUGCAACCCCCAGAAUACUUCACGACGGGGCGUUGUGUCGUCAACGUCGCGUGCGCCCUGCCGGGAGUCGUAGUUCGCGCUUGCGCUCUCGCCGGACUUCGCCUCCCAGACGUCCCUGCGCGUUGUCCCCCUCGCCCUCCAGGCCGCCCGCGCCGCGCCGGAGUCCGCUGUCCGCCAGCUACCCGCUUCCUGCCGCCCGCCGCUGCCAUGCUGCCCGCCGCGCUGCUCCGCCGCCCGGGACUUAGCCGCCUCGUCCGCCACGUCCGUGCCUAUGCCGAGGCCGCCGCCGCCCCGGCUGCCGCCUCUGGCCCCAACCAGAUGUCCUUCACCUUCGCCUCUCCCACGCAGGUGUUCUUCAACGGUGCCAACGUCCGGCAGGUGGAUGUGCCCACGCUGACCGGAGCCUUCGGCAUCCUGGCGGCCCACGUGCCCACGCUGCAGGUCUUGCGGCCGGGGCUGGUCGUGGUGCAUGCAGAGGACGGCACCACCUCCAAAUACUUUGUGAGCAGCGGUUCCAUCGCAGUGAACGCCGACUCUUCAGUGCAGUUGUUGGCUGAAGAGGCCGUGACACUGGACAUGUUGGACCUGGGGGCAGCCAAGGCGAACUUGGAGAAGGCCCAGGCGGAGCUGUUGGGGGCAGCUGACGAGGCCACACGGGCAGAGAUCCAGAUCCGAAUCGAGGCCAACGAGGCCCUGGUGAAGGCCCUGGAGUAGGCGGUGCGUACCCGGUGUCCCGAAGCCCGGCUAGGGGCUGGGCAGGGGUGCCAGGUGGGCCCAGCCAGCUCCUGGGGUCCCGGCCACCUGGGGAAGCCGCGCCUGCCAAGGAGGCCACCAGAGGGCAGUGCAGGCUUCUGCUUGGGCCCCAGGCCCUGCCUGUGUUGAAAGCCCUGGGGACUGGGACAGGGACGCUCCUCCUCAGCUUUGAGCUGUGGCUGCCACCCAUGGGGCUCUUCUUCUGCCUCUCAAGAUCCCCCCAGCCUGCCGGGCCACAUACCAUCCCCUCUGCCCUGCGGAGCCAGCCGCCAAGGUUGACCUCAGCUUCGGAGCCACCUCUGGAUGAACUGGCCCCAGCACCCGCCCCAUUAAAGACCGGGAAGUCUGA